This 74-nucleotide transfer RNA is filed under the name Termitinemataceae bacterium. RNAcentral describes it as "tRNA-Val". It matches the Rfam family "tRNA". Rfam says of the family: Transfer RNA (tRNA) molecules are approximately 80 nucleotides in length. Their secondary structure includes four short double-helical elements and three loops (D, anti-codon, and T loops). Further hydrogen bonds mediate the characteristic L-shaped molecular structure. tRNAs have two regions of fundamental functional importance: the anti-codon, which is responsible for specific mRNA codon recognition, and the 3' end, to which the tRNAs corresponding amino acid is attached (by aminoacyl-tRNA synthetases). tRNAs cope with the degeneracy of the genetic code in two manners: having more than one tRNA (with a specific anti-codon) for a particular amino acid; and 'wobble' base-pairing, i.e. permitting non-standard base-pairing at the 3rd anti-codon position. The record is from RNAcentral. Lineage: Bacteria; Pseudomonadati; Spirochaetota; Spirochaetia; Spirochaetales; Termitinemataceae.
GGGCGGCUAGCUCAGUUGGUUAGAGCACCAGCACGACACGCUGGGGGUCACAAGUUCGACUCUUGUGCCGCCCA